CUCUGAGCGGCCGGGAGGGGCGGGGGGGAAUGACGGGACGCAAGUUUAUUAUCGGAGUGGUCGGGUAUCGGGACGGGCUGCCCGGGGGUGGGGGGGUCGCCGUCCCCGAAGGAGCUCGGAACUCAGGAAACGUGGCACGGAGGGACGCGGGCAGCGGGAACGGGGGGCGACGUUGGGUUGGGGAUCCCAGGGGCGCUCCAGUUAAGGGUUCUGUGACGGUCCCUGGGUUUGGGAUUUGCCUGCGAGCUCAGCUGCAGCUGUGAGGGACCUGUUUUAGGCCCCUGGGAUUGGCCAGAUCCUUGCCCUGAGUUUAUGAGAGUGCUUCAUCCUUCACCCGGUAUUUCUUUUUGCAGGAAGCGCGUGGGAACAUCAAAACCACAUGACAGUAUCGCCGGCACCAGUUAGCGCAGCUCUCCCAGAGAGCAUUGUGAUACUUCGGGUCCAGAUGGCCUCCUGACGUUCAGAGGUGUGACAAGGUGGAAGGUUAGAGAGAGGGACAGAGAGGAAUGAAUGAGGAAGGAGUUGUGCUUGCCACUGAGAUAAGUGAUGAGAUAGGAGCUCCAGAGUCUCCUAUGCUUACAGAGCAUAGCAUGUACUUGUGCGUGUGCACUUCCCACUUACAGUCAUACAGAAUAUUGCAUAAUAUUGGCAUCUGAACGUAUAGAAUUAUAAAUAGAAUAUAGAAUUGUUUUCAAAGAUAAAAAUGUAGUUUUCCCUCAGUUACAACUAUAGGAUCUUUUGUCUUUCAUUGUAUGUUAAGUGUGAAAUAUCAGAGCAGCCAAGCAUUCCGUGACAAUCUUGUUCUGCAAAGUACUCAAAUUGGACCGGGAUGUGAAGCUUUAAGAACAUGGGAAAAGUUUCACUUAAUGCAGAACAGUAACGUUAUGACGGAUUUUACAUUUCAAAACUUCUCAGUACUCAUUUCUGUGUUUACUUCUUGAAGAAGCUACUGUUAACACAUCGGAACUCAAGGAUAUUAAAUAUGUAUAUAUACAUAUAUAUAUUUUUACUGCAUGAAAAGAAAUUGGAGAUAAAUAAAGCGUAUCAUUUUACAUAAAAUCCCAUCUCGCCCCCAAAGUGCAUCUAUGGAAAAGCACAAUCCUAUCCAUAAAGAACAACAAAAAAUCUAUAAAAUAGACAUCUCAGCAAAUGAGUUGACUGUUGAGGAAAGAGUUUCACAGUAAGUAAAAUUAUUUCAGUUACUGCAAUGAGCAGUUUGACUGCCUAAUUUCCCUCUCUAUAUGAGAACAUAGUUUGGAUUUUAUCAGAAGGUUUUAGUGCAUAUUUUCUCCUCAGCAUUUUGGUAUUCUUUCAUUAUGACACUUGUGCAAGUUCUUUUAUUUUGACCUCAGCUUUUAAGCCCUUUAUACUUAGAUUUGCACUGAAAUUGGCUUAUUAUAAUCACGUCUUGCGAAGAUUUGCAUAUGUGCUUAAUGUCAACUGUGUGAAUAGUCCUAUUAAGUUCCGUAGAGUGACUCUUGCACAACAUGAAAUAUGCACAGACAUCUUGGAAGAUUGAGGGCCAUAUGUUUGAGCGUUAAAACAAGUUAUCCAUCAUUUAAUUUUAAAAUAGAGCUGUGGAACUAAUGUGUUAUUUGAAAAAACAUUCUGGACUUAUCUGAAAUCCCAGAGGCACAACUUAAUUCAAUUUCUUGGCUCUCACAGUUUUUAAAUGGUACAAGUUCAAAACCAGGGAUGUCACUUCAAUUGAAAAUGGCAGCCAAGACAGUUCAAACAGGGCUAGGCACAUUCAGUCAUAAUUUUCUUCAUCUUUAUUCAAGUAUUUAAACAUAUUUAAAGAGGGAGAAAAUCAUCAUUUGUAAUUGAGAACUGAAAAAUGACUUUUUUUUUUAUUUGUUGAUUCAUUAAGCCUCAAAACGAGUACUUCUGUCAUCUGUGUUUUGGUUGUUUGUUCUGUGGCUGUUUUCUUCAGAACUAUUGGAAUUGUUUUCGUUGCUAAAAAGGACCCGUGCACGCUAAAGGUUAAAAGCCACAUACCUCAAAGUGGUUAGCCUUGGCUGCAGUACAGUUCAGCUGGAUUCGCGAGUGCACUUCCUGAGAUCCUAGUUUUAUGGGGAGUAUUUAUAGCCCUGUUCAGUCCCACUGACUUCAGAGAGAUGACACAAGCACCUAGCACUGUUUUCUUAGUAGUAGUUAAUGGUAUUCCUUUUUUUUAUCUUAAUGGGCAAAUCAGUUUUAAAACCCUUUUUGGGUUUUUCUGAAGAAAGAACUGAAAUUAUGGUUGAUAGUAGGAUAAUUCUAAUUUUUCUAGCCAAACUUGGCUAAAAGGAGUUAGCUCUCAUUCAACUGAAAGUUACUAAAGAUAAAUGCUUACUUUUAACAUUAUUUAAUAGAGCGCAACCCAGCAAAAGAGAAAGAAGUUAUCAAUCAGCCAAGUGCUGUCUGAAUCAGUGGCGAAGCAGCAUUGGCUGAACAUCAUACGAAGGGUUGUAUAAGCCCAUGCAGUCAGAAAAUGGCUUGGCACGAGAGAAAUUAAACAUCCUAUAUUCCACAAUUGCUUGGAAACACCAAUGUUUUCACAGCAGAGUGAUGCUGAUGAACACAGCUGCAGUUAGUGAAGUAAAUGUUCAUCCUUUGUGGGGUGAAAAUGAAUUGGUGCUGGCAAUUUUCUGGUCUUUCUUUCGUGUUUUGUUUCUCUUAGUUGUGUUUAAAAACUAAAAACAAAAAACAGCCACGAUCGUGUUACAAGCCCACACUCCACAAUGACAUGGGAAACUGCAGAGGAUUAGGAACUUUCCCUUGCUACUUAGGCAGUUGAAAACUAUUUAGGAGUGCUUCCCCCACCAGUGGAAGAAAGUCCAGUGCCCACGGUCACAGCGUUGACAUCAUGUUCACACACAGAGGAGUCCCAUAGGCCAAGUGAUGGCAACAAAAGAGGCUGUGUGGAACAAAUCCCAUCUGUCAUCCAGCAUGAGACAUGAAUCCCGGUCACAGCUGAAGCAGUCACUACAGCGACAUUCCACUUCGCUUCUUUGAGUCCUUCCGUGCGAUUGGACUGAAGGAUAAGAUCUCCUUGUAGAUAUGUUCUUGAAAAACAGAAGAAGAACGAAUAAUGAAUACCUCUAGCGUGCAUCUCCUAUUGCAGAGGUCACAAACAAAACUUCGACCAUUAACCGUGUGCAGAGAGAAGUACAGCAGGUACAAGCUGGGAGGAAGAGAUGAAGUACAGAUGGGGGAAAAAGUGGAAUCUGAAAAGAUGGCAGCAGAAGGAAUCUCUGCUGAGUCCAUGACAGUAAGAGCAAGGAAAGGGAGAUGAAUGCCAUCAUCAAGGCGUUACUGAGUGGCUGCAGCUGAGCUGGCCUUACUCAGCGUGCUCACAGGAAACAGAAAGGGGCAGGAAAGUCUGUGUUAUGCAGUGUCAAAUAAAAUAAACUUCUUACUUUUC
Long non-coding RNA from Centrocercus urophasianus (Greater sage-grouse), 3406 nucleotides. RefSeq lists it as uncharacterized. The record is from RefSeq and is a predicted model, not a curated record. Lineage: Eukaryota; Metazoa; Chordata; Aves; Galliformes; Phasianidae. The transcript is spliced from 3 exons.